Molecule: ribosomal RNA, 586 nt
Filed under: uncultured bacterium
Lineage: Bacteria
Description: partial 16S ribosomal RNA
Rfam family: Bacterial small subunit ribosomal RNA
Source: RNAcentral
UGGGGAAUUUUGGACAAUGGGGGCAACCCUGAUCCAGCAAUGCCGCGUGUGUGAAGAAGGCCUUCGGGUUGUAAAGCACUUUUGUCCGGAAAGAAAACGCCGUGGUUAAUACCCGUGGCGGAUGACGGUACCGGAAGAAUAAGCACCGGCUAACUACGUGCCAGCAGCCGCGGUAAUACGUAGGGUGCAAGCGUUAAUCGGAAUUACUGGGCGUAAAGCGUGCGCAGGCGGUCCGCUAAGACAGAUGUGAAAUCCCCGGGCUUAACCUGGGAACUGCAUUUGUGACUGGCGGGCUAGAGUAUGGCAGAGGGGGGUAGAAUUCCACGUGUAGCAGUGAAAUGCGUAGAGAUGUGGAGGAAUACCGAUGGCGAAGGCAGCCCCCUGGGCCAAUACUGACGCUCAUGCACGAAAGCGUGGGGAGCAAACAGGAUUAGAUACCCUGGUAGUCCACGCCCUAAACGAUGUCAACUAGUUGUCGGGUCUUCAUUGACUUGGUAACGUAGCUAACGCGUGAAGUUGACCGCCUGGGGAGUACGGUCGCAAGAUUAAAACUUAAAUGAAUUNACGGGGUCAUAGCUGUUUCCUG